GGAACGACCUGUUUUCCGCCUGCUGAGGAAGGAAUUGCCACCGAGAUCGGAGACGGUAGGGGAGGUUGUUUACACGGCGUAAAGUGAGGCCGAGUUCCGGCCACCCAGCGGGGUGUAUGAGCUCUUUUAAAGGAGAACACUGUGGUUUUCAUGUUCUGAGCAUUCUGAGAUUGUGAAGGCAUAAUUCCUUUGAUUUGCUUACAGCCAAGUGGAGUUGCACAGGUCAUGGUGGCAGUAUAGCCACUUAAGUAUUCUAAAGGAGAUUUAUCAGCAGGUUGCAGGUGAACAUGGCCUUGAGGUAAAUCCUGCCCCUUGUGAAAUUUAUUUUCAGCAGAUUGUUCUUGGCAUCUUAAGGAAUUAGAAUAUUUUACAAACAAUCAAAAGUUUUGUUUUGGUUCUUUUUUAGACUUGCUUUUGCUUCUUGUAGAAGAUGAGAAACAUGUUUAAACAAAGGUUCUUUAUGCUGAAUAAAUAGGUUGCUUGAAGUUGGUCAUCUGCCUUAUUUAAAUUAAGUGAAUUUUGGCAUUCCCAUCAUGGCUCAGCAGAAACCAAUCUGACUAGCAUCCAUGAGGAUGCAGGUUCAGUCCCUGGCCUCAGUGCGUUAAGGGUCCAGCAUUGCCAUGAGCUGUGGUGCAGGUCACAGACUCAGCUUGGAAUGGCGUGGCUGUGGCUGUGGCGUAGGCCAGUGGCCACAGCUCUGAUUGGACCCCUAGCCUGGGAACCUCUGUAUGCCGCGGGUGCGGCCCUAAAAAGACAUAAAUAAAUAAAGUAGAUUUUAAAUGUCAAAGCUAAUCCUAGACUGUUUUUCCUUCAUCAAAUAUCUUAUUAAAACCUUACAGAUGCCUAGUUUUUACCCAUUUUUAUUUAUCCAUGUUAUAUUACAUGUGAAGUAAAGCCUAUUAGAACCCUGAA
RNAcentral lists this long non-coding RNA (912 nucleotides) under Sus scrofa (pig). Its description in RNAcentral is "lncRNA (ENSSSCG00060038019.1)". Lineage: Eukaryota; Metazoa; Chordata; Mammalia; Artiodactyla; Suidae. The record is from RNAcentral.